This 1675-nucleotide long non-coding RNA is filed under the name Capsicum annuum. RNAcentral's name for it is "long non-coding RNA (CANN_LNC008070)". The record is from RNAcentral. Lineage: Eukaryota; Viridiplantae; Streptophyta; Magnoliopsida; Solanales; Solanaceae.
UUCAUUUUAUUCUAAAUCGAUUUUACCACUAUUUUCAACCUUAUGUAGUUUAUCCAUAACAUAUUAAUCUGAAAUCAUCUAAGCUUGGUUGUCCCCUUCAUUUAUUUCCCUUAAACAAAAAUUAAUACAAAAACAACAUUGACAGUCAACACUGCACACACACCCAUAGACGCAAACAGUUGCAUUGGCAGUCAACACUGCAUAUUCAAUCCUCAGACCACCUUUGUAGUUGUUUAACAUUCACAACUAUUCCUGACAUUUCAUUCAUAAGGGUCUAUUUAUUUUCUUUAUUUUGUUCAACCAUUUCAGCCAAAGUAAACUUCACAAAUAUCUUCUUCGAGUUACUACUAGUCGAGACAGGUACAUUGCUCUUAUAUCAAUUCUCAAGACCUAGCCACAAAUCGAUCAAUAUAAGAACUAAAAAUAAAUAAAAUAGUGGAUUUUUGGGGCAAUUUUCUAAUUUUUAUUCAAAAAUGGUCAAAUGGAUAUUGAGUACAAGAAAUUGAAAUGCUGAAUUAAACUAUGAUAAUUAUGAUACAUGGGACUCCAUUGUUAUUCUUGAAUCUGUAGAAAUAAGGAGUUGAGAAUUAGAUUUAGAGAGAGAUAGAGAGAGAAAAGAAAUAGAUAAGAGAGAAGGAACACGAGGAAGAAGCAUGAAGAUAUCACAAGUUCAUUGUAUUGUAGCUAUGAUUUGUUUGGAAUUAUAUACGAUGAGCUGUCAAGCUUAAUCUUAACCGACCAAGCUCAUUAAUUUCCAAUUGAAUCUACACCCUCCAGGAUUUAUAAUUUCAUUGGCUCUCUUCCUUUAUUUCCUAGCUUCUUUGUAAUUGACUUUUAAGGUCAUAACAAACUAAUUAUUAUAGAUUUUUUAAAAAAAUCAAAUCAAAUCAAAUCAAAUAAAAUUUAAUUUAUCUAGUCAGAUUGAUUUGAUUUUUCAAUUUAAAUCAAUUUUCAAUCAAAACAUGAACACUCUUUUAAAGGGGAUGAGGGGUGCCAAGGGUGGCGGUGGGUGGAUAGGGUAUAUGGGUGUGGCCAUAUGGGCAGAGUUUGGGGGUGAGGGCAGACAGUUAGCCUAAAAACCCUAAAAAAAAUUCAAAAAAUAAUUUUUAUUAUACUAUUAUUUAUUUUUCAGAGAGAAUAAUUUCUAAAAGCUUUUUAAUAAAUCAAAUAUGAAAAAAUUUCAAAAUGUAUUUUCUUUUCAUUUUUUCCAAGAGCAUUAUAGUGUGAAGGAAUUGUUUUCAAAGAUUAUUAAAGGUCAGAUAGGUUUUAUUCACACUACCUCAUCCACUUUUUUCUGCGAAUCUCCUAGGCAUUUGCUGCAAUAAAGGAAACAAAUUGCUUCUAUUAUUGCUAUUGCAAGGACACUGGGAAGCUUGAUUUCAUGGAGUGAAGAGGAAUUGCCAGAACUUGCUAGGUGAAAUGGGGUCUAGCAUAUUCAUGUGUGCAUUAAAUAGUGCAAUUACUACAGCAAUAAUAAAAACAAAACCUUUUUCUUUCAUCAAUUUAAAGCAUUAAUGACAAUUCACCCAUGGGUUAGCACACCGUUCUUAUGCCGGAAGGAGUAAUUUAGGACACAUUUCAUGCUCUAAUAGUUAUAUUGAUGAUGAUAUUGACACUAUCUUUCAGGUCGUUUUUCUCUUCCUUGUUCUCUCUAUUCAAUUUUGACAUAUAUAUA